CUUACACAUGCAGUCGAGGGGUACAGGUCCCUUUCGGGAUGCUGACGACCGGCGCACGGGUGAGUUACGCGUAUGCAACCUGCCCAUAGCUGGAGGAUAGCCCGGAGAAAUCCGGAUUAAUACUCCAUAAUAUUUCGAAACCGCAUGAUUUUGAAAUUAAAGUUUCGGCGGCUAUGGAUGGGCAUGCGUGCCAUUAGCUUGUUGGUAAGGUAACGGCUUACCAAGGCUACGAUGGCUAGGGGUUCUGAGAGGAUGAUCCCCCACACUGGUACUGAGACACGGACCAGACUCCUACGGGAGGCAGCAGUGAGGAAUAUUGGUCAAUGGGCGCAAGCCUGAACCAGCCAUGCCGCGUGCAGGAUGAAUGCCCUAUGGGUUGUAAACUGCUUUUGUACAAGAAGAAUCUUUCCGACGUGUCGGGAAUUGACGGUAUUGUACGAAUAAGCAUCGGCUAACUCCGUGCCAGCAGCCGCGGUAAUACGGAGGAUGCAAGCGUUAUCCGGAUUCACUGGGUUUAAAGGGUGCGUAGGCGGGAUAGUAAGUCGAUGGUGAAAGCCUGCAGCUUAACUGUAGAAUUGCCAUUGAUACUGCUAUUCUUGAGUG
This 603-nucleotide ribosomal RNA is filed under the name uncultured organism. RNAcentral's name for it is "bacterial SSU rRNA". It matches the Rfam family "Bacterial small subunit ribosomal RNA", at positions 48 to 648 of the family's 1533-position model. The record is from RNAcentral.